RNAcentral lists this ribosomal RNA (1182 nucleotides) under bacterium. RNAcentral describes it as "bacterial SSU rRNA". It matches the Rfam family "Bacterial small subunit ribosomal RNA", at positions 49 to 1213 of the family's 1533-position model. The record is from RNAcentral.
CUAUACAUGCAGUCGAGCGGACCGACGGGAGCUUGCUCCCUUAGGUCAGCGGCGGACGGGUGAGUAACACGUGGGUAACCUGCCUGUAAGACUGGGAUAACUCCGGGAAACCGGGGCUAAUACCGGAUGCUUGAUUGAACCGCAUGGUUCAAUCAUAAAAGGUGGCUUUUAGCUACCACUUGCAGAUGGACCCGCGGCGCAUUAGCUAGUUGGUGAGGUAACGGCUCACCAAGGCGACGAUGCGUAGCCGACCUGAGAGGGUGAUCGGCCACACUGGGACUGAGACACGGCCCAGACUCCUACGGGAGGCAGCAGUAGGGAAUCUUCCGCAAUGGACGAAAGUCUGACGGAGCAACGCCGCGUGAGUGAUGAAGGUUUUCGGAUCGUAAAACUCUGUUGUUAGGGAAGAACAAGUACCGUUCGAAUAGGGCGGCACCUUGACGGUACCUAACCAGAAAGCCACGGCUAACUACGUGCCAGCAGCCGCGGUAAUACGUAGGUGGCAAGCGUUGUCCGGAAUUAUUGGGCGUAAAGCGCGCGCAGGCGGUUUCUUAAGUCUGAUGUGAAAGCCCCCGGCUCAACCGGGGAGGGUCAUUGGAAACUGGGGAACUUGAGUGCAGAAGAGGAGAGUGGAAUUCCACGUGUAGCGGUGAAAUGCGUAGAGAUGUGGAGGAACACCAGUGGCGAAGGCGACUCUCUGGUCUGUAACUGACGCUGAGGCGCGAAAGCGUGGGGAGCGAACAGGAUUAGAUACCCUGGUAGUCCACGCCGUAAACGAUGAGUGCUAAGUGUUAGAGGGUUUCCGCCCUUUAGUGCUGCAGCAAACGCAUUAAGCACUCCGCCUGGGGAGUACGGUCGCAAGACUGAAACUCAAAGGAAUUGACGGGGGCCCGCACAAGCGGUGGAGCAUGUGGUUUAAUUCGAAGCAACGCGAAGAACCUUACCAGGUCUUGACAUCCUCUGACAACCCUAGAGAUAGGGCUUCCCCUUCGGGGGCAGAGUGACAGGUGGUGCAUGGUUGUCGUCAGCUCGUGUCGUGAGAUGUUGGGUUAAGUCCCGCAACGAGCGCAACCCUUGAUCUUAGUUGCCAGCAUUCAGUUGGGCACUCUAAGGUGACUGCCGGUGACAAACCGGAAGAAAGGUGGGGAUGACGUCAAAUCAUCAUGCCCCUUAUGACCUGGG